Molecule: long non-coding RNA, 397 nt
Filed under: Brachypodium distachyon (stiff brome)
Lineage: Eukaryota; Viridiplantae; Streptophyta; Magnoliopsida; Poales; Poaceae
Description: long non-coding RNA (BDIS_LNC004488)
Source: RNAcentral
CGACGAUGGUUUUAUAAUAAAGAGUUGUUCGAAAUAACAUUUUUUUUUGAUAAAUUUAGGUAUUUAAAUUAAGCUUGAACUAGAUUACACACAGGGUCUUGAUAUGCCACAUGCAACGUGUUUUUUUUUAUUUUGGAGUUUCUGUACAAAUUGUUGGUGAAUUUACCACAAUUUUGUUCUCCCAUUUUAGUAAUUGUCUGCCACAUGGAUUUUAGGUAGCAAAUCUACUCCCCGGUUUCUAAAUGUAAGAAAGUCUUAGUUUUGUUCUAAGUCGAAUCUCUUAAACUUUUAUCAAGUUCAUAGAAAAAUCUACCAAAUCUAUGAUUUUAAAUUAGUUUUAGGAAGUGUCUAUUUCUCGGUUGUCUAAGAAAUAGUUAUGUCAUGGUGGUGUCACGGC